RNAcentral lists this long non-coding RNA (337 nucleotides) under Homo sapiens (human). RNAcentral's name for it is "non-protein coding lnc-GUSB-2:1". The record is from RNAcentral. Lineage: Eukaryota; Metazoa; Chordata; Mammalia; Primates; Hominidae.
CCUCCUCCUCCUUUACAGGCAUGAGCCACUGCGCUUGGCUGUUUUUUCCUCCUCCUCCUCCUCCUCCUCCUCCUUUACAGGUGUGAGAGCCACCAGGCCUGGCUGUUUCUUCCUUCUCCUCCUCCUCCUCAUUCUCCUCCUCCUUUACAGACCUGAGCCAGGGAGCCUGGCUGUUUCUUCCUCCUACUCCUCCUCUACAGGUGUAAGCCACCAAGCCUCGCCGUUUCCUUCUCCUCCUCCCUCUCCUCCUUCUCCCCCUCCUCCUCUUCUCCCCCUCCCUCCUCCCCCUCCUUUCCUCCUCCUCCCUUCUUCCUUUCCUCCUCUUCCACCUCCUUCU